Molecule: long non-coding RNA, 161 nt
Organism: Cydia pomonella (codling moth)
Lineage: Eukaryota; Metazoa; Arthropoda; Insecta; Lepidoptera; Tortricidae
Exons: 3
Source: RefSeq, a predicted model, not a curated record
CACCCGUUGUGCCGUAAGCUCUAGUCUCUAACUACGAGAACGAUAUGAUAGUGUACCUAUAAAAUUCCCACCAACAUACGGUUCGUGAGUUACAGUGCUGUACAGUGCGAUUCAUUUAGACAAGUGGGAGGCGUGCGCAGAGCCGAAACCAACACGAAGAG